This 253-nucleotide ribosomal RNA is filed under the name uncultured bacterium. RNAcentral describes it as "partial 16S ribosomal RNA". It matches the Rfam family "Bacterial small subunit ribosomal RNA", at positions 524 to 776 of the family's 1533-position model. The record is from RNAcentral.
UACGUAGGUGGCGAGCGUUGUCCGGAAUUACUGGGCGUAAAGGGUGCGUAGGCGGAAUCUUAAGUCAGAUGUGAAAACCCAGGGCUUAACUUUGGGAUUGCAUUUGAAACUGAGGUUCUAGAGUGCAGGAGAGGGAAGCGGAAUUCCUAGUGUAGCGGUGAAAUGCGUAGAUAUUAGGAAGAACACCAGUGGCGAAGGCGGCUUUCUGGACUGUAACUGACGCUGAGGCACGAAAGCGUGGGGAGCAAACAGG